GCUCAACGGAUAAAAGGUACUCCGGGGAUAACAGGCUGAUACCGCCCAAGAGUUCAUAUCGACGGCGGUGUUUGGCACCUCGAUGUCGGCUCAUCACAUCCUGGGGCUGAAGUAGGUCCCAAGGGUAUGGCUGUUCGCCAUUUAAAGUGGUACGCGAGCUGGGUUUAGAACGUCGUGAGACAGUUCGGUCCCUAUCUGCCGUGGGCGCUGGAGAACUGAGGGGGGCUGCUCCUAGUACGAGAGGACCGGAGUGGACGCAUCACUGGUGUUCGGGUUGUCAUGCCAAUGGCACUGCCCGGUAGCUAAAUGCGGAAGAGAUAAGUGCUGAAAGCAUCUAAGCACGAAACUUGCCCCGAGAUGAGUUCUCCCUGACUCCUUGAGAGUCCUGAAGGAACGUUGAAGACGACGACGUUGAUAGGCCGGGUGUGUAAGCGCAGCGAUGYGUUGAGCUAACCGGUACUAAUGAACCGUGAGGCUUAACCUUACAACGCCGAAGGUGUUU
RNAcentral lists this ribosomal RNA (502 nucleotides) under Escherichia coli. Its description in RNAcentral is "bacterial LSU rRNA". It matches the Rfam family "Bacterial large subunit ribosomal RNA", at positions 2447 to 2925 of the family's 2925-position model. Lineage: Bacteria; Pseudomonadati; Pseudomonadota; Gammaproteobacteria; Enterobacterales; Enterobacteriaceae. The record is from RNAcentral.